CCUUCCUACAGAGGCGUGUCUGUAGCUCCCUGUCUUUGCACACGUAAGACUUGGAGGAAAAGAAACGUGGACUUGGAGAAGUCUGGGGGCAGCUUGCUCCCUUCAGGCUCAAGAUCAACCUUGAAAGAGAA
Suricata suricatta (meerkat) is the source of this 131-nucleotide small nucleolar RNA. The record is from Ensembl. Lineage: Eukaryota; Metazoa; Chordata; Mammalia; Carnivora; Herpestidae.